AGCAGCAGCCACGGUAAUACGUAGGGUGCAAGCGUUAAUCGGAAUUACUGGGCGUAAAGCGUGCGCAGGCGGUUAUAUAAGUCAGAUGUGAAAUCCCCGGGCUCAACCUGGGAACUGCAUUUGAGACUGUAUGGCUAGAGUGUGUCAGAGGGGGGUAGAAUUCCACGUGUAGCAGUGAAAUGCGUAGAUAUGUAGAGGAAUACCGAUGGCGAAGGCAGCCCCCUGGGCCAAUACUGACGCUCAUGCACGAAAGCGUGGGGAGCAAACAGGAUUAGAUACCCCUGUAGUCCCUGUCUCUUAUAC
Molecule: ribosomal RNA, 303 nt
Filed under: uncultured bacterium
Lineage: Bacteria
Description: partial 16S ribosomal RNA
Rfam family: Bacterial small subunit ribosomal RNA
Source: RNAcentral